This 253-nucleotide ribosomal RNA is filed under the name uncultured bacterium. RNAcentral's name for it is "partial 16S ribosomal RNA". It matches the Rfam family "Bacterial small subunit ribosomal RNA", at positions 524 to 776 of the family's 1533-position model. The record is from RNAcentral.
UACGAGGGGGGCAAAUGUUGUUCGGAAUCACUGGGCGUAAAGGGAGCGUAGGCGGGUUUUUAAGUCAGGUGUUUAAUCCCGGGGCCCAACCCCGGACCGGCACUUGAAACUGGGAAUCUUGAAUAGGGGAGAGGUCAGUGGAAUUGGAGGUGUAGCGGUGGAAUGCGUAGAGAUCUCCAAGAACACCGGUGGCGAAGGCGGCUCACUGGCUCGUAACUGACGCUCAUGCACGACAGCGUGGGGAUCAAACAGG